RNAcentral lists this long non-coding RNA (33345 nucleotides) under Malus domestica (apple). RNAcentral's name for it is "long non-coding RNA (MDOM_LNC006262)". Lineage: Eukaryota; Viridiplantae; Streptophyta; Magnoliopsida; Rosales; Rosaceae. The record is from RNAcentral.
UGGACAGAUCUUUGUGCUCUUUUGGUUGUGACCUAGUUUCUCCAGACAAGGCUACUCUCAAAUUGCCAUCUAGUUGUCCAAUUUGCACUAAGCCUGGCCACUGGCUGAAUCAAUGAGCCUGGAAGAAACAGGUCCCCAUUGGCGUAACUCAGGUUGGCAAGGGCUAUGUAGUAGAUGGGCAGUGUGUUAUUCCACUUAAGUGUGCUUAAUGUCAUUAGAGUGGUACUCACAGGGUUCCUGUCUGCGCGGAUUGGAACAAACUACUCAAAGGAAACUGGACGGGAUGUGCCCUUGCACCCCUGUUGGUUCGAUACAUCACCUGAUGAUUGAUGAAGCUGAGGACGACUGGGUGCAUGUAUGCAGCAGCUGUUAAAUUAUCGUUUCAUUUUAGUGCUCUAUGUUAUAUAUAUAUAUAUGUUAUUGUGGACCCACGUAUGUCUUGGAAUAAUUAAGCUAGAUAGCUCUGUUGUCGUUGCGGAUAUAUAUACUUUGUUGUUGGGUGUUUUCUGUGUUUAAUUUGGCUGUCCUUUGCAUGCACUCGCCUUGGAAUAUCACAUCUGUGCAGUGCCUAUUAAUUUGGAUCAACGCUUUGAUUUGAUUGACUUGUACUGAUGUUGUUUGCUUCAAGGGUGUGCGUGUGUUUUUUUAAUCGACAGAUGUCGUGAAUGGUUUACAUGCACCUUCCCUCGAGCAGGCAAGCUUCUGCAUUCUCACGUCAGUGUAUGACGUGAAAAUAACAAAAAUUAUUAUGGACCUUCCAUCUUUGCGAUAAUCCUGGCAUGAUUUGGUCUAAAAAACUGUGUUCUUGUUCAUGCUCACUAAUACUUGGAUGCUGGAGAGCAGCAGUAAAUUCAAAGCAUAUUCUAUAUUUUAUGGUAGAAAGCUAUGAAGUACGGAUAUGGAUAUGGAUAUGGCGAUACGAUAUAACAUGACACAUCGAUACGAAAAAUUUCUAAAAAGUAGGAUACGAUUCACGAUAGAUACAUGCCCUCGAGCAGUUGUAGUGAAUGAUUUACAUACACCUUGCCCUCGAGCAGGCAAGCUUCUGCAUUUCCGAGUCGUUGUUGGACUUUUGAGUUGUGGAUAUUUCGGUUGUGGUUGGUGUUCAUAUGGUCCUUCUCUAUCUUUUGUGUCGAUUGUUAGUUUUGAGUCCGUUUCCAAAACCCAAAAUGGUGGUUAAUUGUGCCAAAUUGAAUAUUAAAGUGCCGGCGGGAAAUUUUUAAUGAAGUUUGAGAACAUACCAUUUCUUCAUUUUCAACAAAAGAAAAUUCAAAGAACUUAGCGAAGAAGGCUUUGGUGUAUUUAACACAAUACGUUGAAAUGAAGGAAAGCUUAUUUAUUGAUAUCCCCGAUAAGCUACAAAUAUGUACAUAUACAUGAGUCAAAAUAAACACACAAGAGGGAGCCUUCACAAAGGUUGCUUAGGAGAAGUCUCAGCAGUCGGUAGAGCCCCAGAAAGAGAAGGCACCGGAGGGGGAUCAUUUGGAGCCUCAGUACUGGACAGAACCCUAGAAGGAGGAGGCAUCAGAGGUUGAUCAUUCGGAGCUUCAUUACGCGGUACAGCCCCAGAAGACGAAGGCAAUAAAUGCCUUUGGAACAAACCCACAAAUCUCUGAUGAUCAAGUAAAAUCUGACCAUCAGUUUCCUUCAUCUGGUCAAGCUUCCUCUUCAUGUUUGUAGCAUAGUCAUGUGCGAGCCGGUGCAACUGUUUAUUCUCAUGCUUGAGCCCUCUAAUCUCCUGUUUGAGACUCAUCACUUCAGCCGCCAAUGAUUCAACUUGGCGGGUUCGAGCAAAUAGGCGUUGGGCCAUAUUAGACACAGAACCUGCACACUGAACACUGAGAGCCAGCGAAUCUUUAACAGCUAACUCAUCAGACCGUUUGGAAAGUAGUCUGUUAUCUUUGGGAGUGAGAAGGUUCCUGGCCACCACCGCAGCGGUCAUAUCAUUCUUCAUCACGGAAUCCCCAACGGUAAGAGGACUUGUAGGGGAGACGAAGGAUGGGCGCCAUAUGUUGUCUGGAGAAGGCGGGGCUGCCUCUUCAACAAGGUUCAAGUCAAAACGACGGUCGGAAGGGCCAGACAUUUUCAAAGGUGUUGAAGAGAGAAGAGGUCGGACAAAUCAAGAUCUUAGAAGUGCAAGAAUGAAGCUUCUACUGGUGGAGAUUCAAGUGUGCUUUGGAACUUAAUGCCAGCCCCUAUAAAAAUCUGCACUCGACGGAGCUUCAGAAAUCGAAGAGGCGCCUGCUCAGAAAUCGAAGAGGCGCUCGCUUUCUCAAAAGCUGGGCUCCCCAGAGACCACGAGGGCCGAUCUCAGAAAUCGAAGAGGCACCUACUUUUCCAGCCUUGUCAGCACCUGUCACACGCACACUCAGCUUUGCGGAAAUUAUGGGCAUUCUGUCGAAGACUUCUGGGGAAGUAGAACACACAUGAAUCUUACUGUUCAAUCACCCACUUCCCACACGCAACAAUAGCUCAUGGGUACCACAGAUAACUUUGCCAAAGUUCUCUGCCAAAGUUGAGCAUGUGAAGCUUGCAGCUCCCACUACAUCGCUCUGACCAAGAAGGGUAAAAGAAUAGCAAAGAAACAGCACUAACAAAGUUUAGACCCAUAAAUUUUGAAGGUCUAGCUACCAUAUUAUUACCCACAAGGGUAAAGGAACAGUACCACUGCUGGAUAAUUGGAAAGUCCCUGUGUGUCAACCUUUGUGCUUCGUGGCAAGGUAGACUAGCAAACAUGCCCAACCUUUACUCACAUUCGAGAAAACACUCCCAAUAAGAUUGCUUGCUCCAAAAUCAAAGAGGCACCGUCCUCCGAAUCUCGAGAGCCAGACUCCCAACAUGACUACUUUCUUAAAAAUCGAAGAGAGGAUAAAUGAACAGUACCAUUGCUGGAUAAUUGGAAAGUCCCUGUGUGUCAACCUCUGUGCUUCGUGGCAAGGUAGACUAGCAAACAUGCCCAACCUUUACUCACAUUCGAGAAAACACUCCCAACAAGAUUGCUUGCUCCAAAAUCGAAGAGGCACCGCCCUCCGAAUCUCGAGAGCCAGACUCCCAACAUGAUUACUUUCUCAAAAAUCGAAGAGACACUGCUCCCCGAAUCUUCGAGAGCCAGACCCUCAGCAUGAUUGCUUUCUCAAAAAUCGUUCUCCGAAUCAAUCGAAGAGGCGCUCGCUUUCUCAAAAGCUGGGCUGCUCAGAGACCACGAGGGCCGAUCUCAGAAAUCGAAGAGGCACCUACUAUUCUAGCCUUGUCAGCACCUGUCACACGCACACUCAGCUUUGCAGAAAUUAUGGGCAUUCUGUCGAAGACUUCUGGGGAAGUAGAACACACAUGAAUCUUACUGUUCAAUCACCCACUUCCCACACGCAACAAUAGCUCAUGGGUACCACAGAUAACUUUGCCAAAGUUCUCUGCCAAAGUUGAGCACGUGAAGCUUGCAGCUCCCACUACAUCGCUCUGACCAAGAAAGGUAAAAGAAUAGCAAAGAAACAGCACUAACAAAGUUUAGACACAUAAAUUUUAAAGGUCUAGCUACCAUAUUAUUACCCACAAGGGUAAAGGAACAGUACCAUUGCUGGAUAAUUGGAAAGUUCCUGUGUGUCAACCUCUGUGCUUCGUGGCAAGGUAGACUAGCAAACAUGCCCAACCUUUACUCACAUUCGAGAAAACACUCCCAACAAGAUUGCUUGCUCCAAAAUCGAAGAGGCACCGUCCUCCGAAUCUCGAGAGCCAGACUCCCAACAUGACUACUUUCUCAAAAGCGAAGAAAGGGUAAAGGAACAGUACCAUUGCUAGAUAAUUGGAAAGUCCCUGUGUGUCAACCUUUGUGCUUCCGGGCAAGGUAGACUAGCAAACAUGCCCAACCUUUACUCACAUUCGAGACAACACUCCCAACAGGAUUGCUUGCUCCAAAAUCGAAGAGGCACCGCCCUCCGAAUCUCGAGAGCCAGACUCCCAACAUGAUUACUUCCUCAAAAAUCGAAGAGACACUGCUCUCCGAAUCUCGAGAGCCAGACCCCCAGCAUGAUUGCUUUCUCAAAAAUCGAAGAGGCAUCGUUCUCCGAAUCUCGAGAGCCAGAUACCACAGACCACUUUUUCAAAGUGCUCUGACAGAGUUAAAACAUGUGAAACUGGCAGCUCCCACUACCGUGCUAUGACCAAGCAGGGUAAAUGAAUAGCAUUACUACUUGUUGUUAGGGAGACUCCUAUAUAUGUCGACCUCCAUCCCCAACGGACAGGCAGACCUGCAAAAAUGCUCAACCCUUCAUCAUAUCUGAGAGGGCACUCCCAACGAAGCCUUUCGAAAUAUUCAGCUUUCUUCCCCCCCCCCCCGAUAAUACCUCUGCAAACAAGCUAUACUAGAGCAAGAAUAUCUCAUAUCAUCAGGGUUAAAAGCAAGAGUAUCCCAUAUCAUGCUUUUUCCCUGUCUUUUCCUUUGGCCUUGUUUUUACCUGCAAGACAAGGAGAAAGAGAGCAAUCAGUCAGCACUUGGAAUCAAGCUUCCAGCCAGGAACUGACUGCCUGGAACCCCUUACCUGAUUACUUACCUGACAUUGCUCUCGAGUACUCAUCUUCAACAUCUUAUGUUUCCAGGGAAGAUUCCGCAUCUGCUUGAAGAACAGAUAGGGCAAGUGCGAAGGAUACAAGGAAGCAUGUGGAGACAAGCGUAACAGCACACGUGCCGAUACAUCCAUUACUCUGUCAAAAGCAAAAGUAUCCUAUAUCAGCAGGGUUGAACGUACUCUAGAUUUGAUGGACUUGUUUUGACCCUCAAAUUCUUCAGUCGGCCUUAUACUCUGGAGGAAACCAGGAAACCCUCCAGCUCAGUUCAAGAAUAAGCCUGUGGAAAGUUGCUUCUUCAAAAGCAAAAGUAUCUCAUAUCAUCUCUUCUCAUUUUUCUUCUCUUUAUCCUUCAUGCUGCUGCAAGAUGGGGAGAAGGUGAACAAUCAGUCGGAGCUCUGAUUGCUUACCUUGUCUAUCACCUCUUUCAGCAGACCCCCUAGCUCGGCGACUUGGGGGACUCCUACUACAUGGUUUGUAUCGCGCUUGACCAAGCUUGAAACUACAAGUAAGCUUCAAGUGAAAUUGAUACAUUACCUUGUGCAUCUCCACCAGUUAAAGAUACCACCCCUGGAUGGAGGAAGAGUACUUCAAGAGAAGAUGCCACAUCUACCUAUGAGACAGAUAAGGCAAGUCAAGACGACACCACACUCCGAUACUUAGAAGGUUCGUGAUUACGAGAUCAUUCUCCCACAAUAUUUCCUAAUGUCAUUUGUACUAAAUCAUUCACUUGUACUCACUAAAGGAGAGCUUGAACCUAUGUACUUGUGUAAACCCUUCACAAUUAAUGAGAACUCUUCUAUUCCGUGGACGUAGCCAAUCUAGGUAAACCACGUACAUCUUGUGUUUGCUUUCCUAUCUCUAUCCAUUUAUAUACUUAUCCACACUAAUGACCGGAGCAAUCUAGCGAAGAUCACAAAAAGCGACCGUUUUUGCUACCUAUGAUCUAUCUUGCAAGAGAACGGAGAAUUAGAUGGAGAUCUCAACCAUAGAAUACGAGCUGGAUGGAUGAAGUGUAAGAGUGCAUCCGGCGUGUUGUGUGACCGUCGUAGGCCACUGAAGCUCAAGGGAAAAUUUUAUAGGACGGCAAUAAGGCCAGCGAUGUUGUAUGGCACAUAAUGUUGGGCGGUGAAGCAUCAACACGUACACAAAAUGGGUGUAGCGGAGAUGAGGAUGCUUUGUGGGAUGUGUGGGCACACGAGAAAAGAUAAGAUUGGGAAUGAGGAUAUCCGAGGUAAAAUAGGAGUAGCCGAAAUUGUAGGAAAGAUGAGAGAAAAUCGGCUCCGGUGAUUUGGACAUGUGCAAAGAAGGCCGACUGACGCUCCGGUUCGAAGAUGUGACUACGGGACAGAGGUUCAGGGCCGAAGGGGUAGAGGAAGACCUAGGAAAACUUUGGAAGAGACUCUAAGAAAAGACUUAGAGUACUUGGAUCUAACGGAGGACAUGACACAAAACCGAGCGCAAUGGCGUUCUAGGAUUCAUAUAGCCGACUCCACUUAGUGGGAAAAGGCUUUGUUGUUGUUGUUGUUGUUGUUGUUUGUACUUACGGCUCUACAGAUGGCUAAAUAGUUGGAUGAAAUAUUAGAUCAUGCCGAAGCGAAUCUUGCUUCCAGCUGCAUGGCAGAUACUGGAUGUAUGUCGUUCCUUGAGCAGAUCAUUUUUCCAAUAAAUGGAAUAUUGGUUGCGGUUAGUGGAUCUCUAUUUCACAUUUCAUUUUUCCAAUAUAUGGAACAAUGCUACUCUUACUCAUCCUCGUGUUCGAGUGAUGAAUGAGUGUAGCUUUCCUUGAUCAACAAGUCUAGCUUUCGACUUUAUCUGGUUUCUAGAAUUAACAAAAGUUUUGUGAUUUGGCAGGGCGGCCACUCGUGUAGAACAAGUAGCUAUUUAUUACUUUGUGUAGAACGUAAUUGAGCAUGAAGUAGAAGUGUUAGUAAUAAGUAUUUGAUGAUUGAAAGAGUGAGAUCGAGAAUGCAAGGGGGCCUGAACCGAGGUGUUCUGCCUUACUUAGCUUAUCCCCUCACUUGGUUAUACAAAUUGUUUACUUUAACUAUGUAGUUGAUACAGCUUAUAGGAUAAUUGCAAAUUACCUUAUUAAAAUGCUAUUAAUUGCGAAGGUCAAAUUUUUUUACUUCAUGUUUCUUACCAGUUAUUAGUUAUUGGUAUAGUGUUUGUUCUCUUUCUAAUAUUGACGAGGUCUCAAGUUACGAAUGUCCCUAUUCUCAUAAUUUGUUGAAACAUAUUUAGUUAAUUUGGAUUGACGUUUUGAUUUGAUUUGAUUUGCUUGAACCGGUGGUGUUUGCUUUGAGGGUGUGCGUGUGUUUUUAAUCGACAAUUAUAGUUCACAAUAGGGGUGGGUGUCGGUUGGUUGGGCAAAAAUUGUGAACCGAAACCAACUAAAUUGGGUCUAAAAUCAAUCAGGUCGGUUAACCGACAAUGGUAGGUUGGUUUGGAUUGGUUCUUUGUUUGUGUAAGAAAAAAAUACAUAACAAAUUUUUCUCUCAAAAGCUACAGAACGUAGCAUCAAUGACCAAUAUGAGUGAUUGCUAAAAGGAAUGCACAAAUGAAGCAGCCCAAGGAGAGCACCAAAGCAGUAGUUGCUGCCGUCUCCAAAUGGUGCCCCCUGUCCUUCUCCAAAUGACUCUUAAACUAGUCAGGUUUUGUUUUCAUGUGGUAAAAAUACGGUAACUCAUAAAUAAUUAAUCAUUUUUAUUACUACACGUAUUAAUUAUGAUUAAAAAUAAAUAAAAUAAAGUAUAUGCAGGUCGGUUCAGUUAACCACAUCCUAAGAAUUUUGAGAACCAAUUGUCAAACAGAUUAAAGCCAGUGCGGUUUGUUUAACCACCGAGAACUAAACACCACAAAACAAAAACCAAACUAAACUAAUCCGGCGGUGCGGUUCAGUCGGUUUUAUUUAGUUUUUUUUAAUAAAUGCCCAGUCCUUGUUCACAUCCAUCUUGGCCUCGACCUCGAGCAGGCAAGCUUCUGCAUUUUAGAGUCAUUGUUGGUCUUUUGAGUUUUGUGGAUAUUUCGCUUAGGUAAUGGUUGUUGGUGUUCAUACUGCCCUUCUCUCUCUUUUGUGUUCGUUGUUAGUUUUGAGUCCGUUUCUAAAACCAAAAAUGAUUUAAUUGUGAAACACUAUUACGUAUUUGGCUGGAUUCUUGGAGGCUCAUGUGAUCUUGAUAUUGGGCUUUUAACAUUGGGCAAAGCAAGCAAGGCCCAUGGAACGUUGCUUGUUGCACACGUUGUCUGUGCUCUGUUACAUUUUUCAGACUUAAAACUCAAUUCUGCAGGGCAGCUCGCAUUCAUGGUUCCCUUGAACAAGACAUUGCAAAAUUUCCCCAAAUGGCAAAAGCCUUCAUAAUUGUAUUGAAGGUGAAAAAUAUAUUCUCAUUUUAUUUUCAAAAUAUAGUUUAAAUAUACAAAAAAAUACAAUUAUUUUUGUAAAACAAAAAGGCAAUAUUAAGAGGCAUUUAUUUGUACUGGCAACAAGUAGGACUAGUUAUUGAGUAGAAAGAGAUUGAGCAAAAGAUUAAACGUUAAAUUCUCGUCCUUAUCAUAUUUAGUUUAUGCAAAAGAAAAUUAUCCUAAAGAAAAUGAAAAGAGAUAGUGUUUUUCGACGAGUCGUUUUUUUUUGUUUGUUGAAACACACCACUCGUUUCAUGAACGACUUGGAAAAAAAAAAGGCAACCAAAUGUUUAAUUACAACACGUGUCCUUAAAUUAGAAAGUAAAAUUCAUAUCGAUUAGUGCUUCCUAUGUGUUCUAAUAGUUUUCCACGAAGAAUUUACCUGAAGACAUGCCCUAAUGAAGCUUUUUUACUAAUGGUAUAAACAAAUGCGUAAAAAGGAUAUAUAUAUAUUUUGGUCAUCAAUAAGGGUCAUAUUCAGAUGGGUAAGAAGAUAUUCAAUAGCUAUUUAAUUAAACUAGCUCUCACAUAAGUUUAAAAUAUUGGUAUCGCCAGAAAUAUCAAUACACAAAUUUAUGGAAAUAUCGACAGAUAUCGAUAUUGGUUGAUUUUGAUGAAAAUGAUGCAAAUUUGAAAUGAAACUUUAGGGAUUGUCAAACAUUAAUUUCGACGAAAUAUAAGAAUUUUCCUGAUAUUUAACAAACAUACAUUUUGUUUUCUUGUUGCUCUUCGUUCAUUAUUUUUCAUUACGAGUAGGGCAAAACAAAAUUUCAGACAAGAAUAAUGUUUUUGUACUACAAUGCGUCCAAAAGGAGUGGACCAAUGGGGACUUGCCAUGUUACAAACGGUCACACAUGCAAACAAAUUCAACUAGAAAAGUUCAAUAUGCUAGUCCACGUGGCGAUCAAGGGUGAAAAGUUAUAUUAUUUGUGUUCCCACAUCUGUCCGCAAUGAAUGUUUCCUCUUGCAAAGCUUGUCUAUUGGCAUAUAACUUUGUAGAGCAAAGGGAGGCAGCAACACAAAUGAAAUAGCAACAUAAAUGAAACCAACAUUUUUUCAUACUUCUUCUGUCCCUAAACCAGUAUCUCAUCAAACCAUUUGAAAUUUUUCCGGAAAAUGUUUCACACAAAGAGCUUCAGAACUUCAUUUGGGAUUGUGAUUUGUUUGCAUUGUAAGUUUUGUUCUCUUUCCUUGUUGGAAUAUGUUUUCAUUUUUUUUUUGAAAAUGAAAAGGCAAUAUUAUGAGGCAUUCAUUAGUAAAAAGAGAUUGAGCAGACGAUUAAAUGUUAAAUUCUCGUCUUUAUCGUAGUUAGUUUAUGCAAAAGAAAAUUAUCCUAAAGAAUAUGAAAAGAGAUUGCGUUUUUGGGCGAGUCGUUUUUUUCGCUUUUUUCCUAUGUGUUGUAAUAGUUUUCCAAGAAGUAUUGAAGCAAAUUUGAAAUGAAACUUUAGAAAUUGUCAAACAUUAAUUUCGACGAAAUAUAACAAUUUUCCAAAUAUUUAACAAACAUACAUUUUGCAUUCAUGGUUCCAUUGAACAAGAUGUUGCAAAAUUUCCCCAAAUGCAAAAAAGCCUUCAUAAUUGUAUUGAAGGUGAAAAAUAUAUUCUCAUUUUAUUUUCAAAAUAUAGUUUAAAUGCACAACAAAAAUACAAUCUUUUUUGUAAAACAAAAAUGCAUUAUUAUGAUUUAUGAGGCAUUUAUUUGUACUGGCUACAAGUAGUACUAGUUACUGAGUAAAAGAGAUUGAGCAAACAACUAAACGUUAAAUUCUCGUCUUUAUCAUAUUUGGUUUCUACAAAAGAAAAUUAUCCUAAAGAAUAUGAAAAGAGAUUGAGUUUAUGGGCGAGUCAUUUUUUUUUUCGCUUUUUUCCUAUGUGUUCAAAUAGUUUUCCAUGAAGCAUUUACUUGAAGAAAUGCCCUAAUGAAGUCUUUUUACUAAUGGUAUAGAAAAAUGCGUAAAAAAUGUUUUUUUUUUAUUGUCAUCAAUAAAGGUCGUAUUUAGCUAGGCAAGAAGAUAUUUAAUAGUUAUUUAAUUAAACUAGCUCUCACAUAAAAUUAGUGUUUAAAAUAUCAGUAUUUGGUAGAAAUAUCAAUACACAAAUUUAUGGAAAUAUCGAUAUCGGUUGAUUUUGAUGAAAAUGAUGCAAAUUUGAAAUGAAACUUUAGGGAUUGUCAAACAUUAAUUUCGAUGAAAUAUAAGAAUUUUCCGAUAUUUAACAAACAUACAUUUUGUUUUAUUGUUGCUCUUCGUUCAUUAUUUUUCAUUACAAGUAGGGCAAGAAAAAAUUUCAGACAAGAACAACGUUUUUGUACUAUAAUGUGUCCAAAAGGAGUGGACUAAUAGGGACUUGCCAUGUUACAAAUGGUCAUACAAGCAAACAAAUUCAACUAGAAAAGUUCAAUAUGCUUGUCCACGUGGCGAUCAAGGGUGAAAAGUUACAUUAUUUGUGUUCCCACAUCUGUCCAAAGCGAAUGUUUCCUCUUGCAAAGCUUGUCUAUUGGCAUAUAUAGCUUUGGAGAGCAGAGGGAGGCAGCAACACAAAUGAAACAGCAACAUAAAUGAAACCAGCAUUUUUUCGUACCUUUUCUGUCUCCAAACCAGUAUCUCAUCAAAUCGUUUGAAAUUUUUCCACACGAAGAGCCUCAAAACGUCAUUUGGGAUUGUGAUUUGUCUGCAUUGUAAGUUUUGUUCUCCUUCUUUUUUGGAAUAUGUUUUCAUUUUUUUUAUGGUUGUACGUUCUUGCUAUGUUUACACAAGGCAUUCAUGGUUCCCUUGAACAAGACGUUGCAAAAUUUCCCCAAAUGGCAAAAGCCUUCAUAAUUGUAUCGAAGGUGAAAAAUAUCUUCUCAUUUUAUUUUCAAAAUAUAGUUUAAAUAUGCAAAACAAAUACAAUCUUUUUUUGGAAAAUGAAAAUGCAAUAUUAUGAGGCAUUCAUUAGUAAAAAGAGAUUGAGCAGACAAAUAAAUGUUAAAUUCUCGUCUUUAUCAUAGUUAGUUUAUGCAAAAGAAAAUUAUCCUAAAGAAUAAGAAAAUAGAUUGCAUUUUUGGGCGAGUCGUUUUUUUUGCUUUUUUCUUAUGUAUUCUAAUAGUUUUCCACAAAGCAUUUACUUGAAGACAUGCCCUAAUGAAGUCUUUUUACAAAUGGUAUAGGAAAAUGCGUAAAAAAUGAUUUUUUUUUUGGUUUUUGGUCAUCAAUAAGGGUCGUAUUCAACUAGGCAAGAAGAUAUUUAGUAGCUAUUUAUUAAACUAGCUCUCCCAUAAAAUUAAUGUUAAAAAUAUCAGUAUUGGUAGAAAUAUCAAUACACAAAUUUAUGGAAAUAUCGACAAAUAUCGAUAUCAGUUGAUUUUGAUGAAAAUGAGGCAAAUUUGCAAUGAAAAUUUAGGGAUUGUCAAACAUUAAUUUCGACAAAAUAUAAAAAUUUUCCCGAUAUUUAACAAACAUACAUUUUGUUUUCUUGUUGCUAUUCGUUCAUUAUUUUUCAUUACGAGUAGGGCAAAACAAAAUUUCAGACAAGGAUAACGUUUUUGUACUACAAUGCAUCCAAAAGGAGUGGACCAAUGGGGACUUGCUAUGUUACAAACGAUCACACAAGCAAACAAAUUCAACUAGAAAAGUUCAAUAUACUAGUCCACGUGACGAUCAAGGGUGAAAAGUUACAUUAUUUGUGAUUCAUUAGUCCACAACGAAUGUGUCCUCUUGCAAAGCUUGUCUAUUGGCAUAUAGCUCUGGAGAGCAAAGGGAGGCAGCAACACAAAUGAAAUAGCAACAUAAAUGAAACCAACAUUUUUUUAUACUUCUUCUAUCUCUUAACCAGUAUCUCAUCAAACCAUUUGAAAUUUUUCCGGAAAAUGUUUCACACGAAGAACUUCAGAACUUCAUUUGGGAUAGUGAUUUAUUUGCAUUGUAAAUUUUGUUCUCUUUCCUUGUUGGAAUAUGUUUUCAUUUUUUUUAUGGUUGUACCUUCUCGCUAUGUUUACACAAGGCAUUCAUGGUUCCCUUGAACAAGACGUUGCAAAAUCUCCCCAAAUGGCUAAAGCCUUCAUAAUUGUAUUGAAGGUAAAAAAAUAUCUUCUCAAUUUAUUUUCAAAAUAUAGUUUAAAAAUACAACAAAAAUACAAUCUUUUUUUUUUCGGAAAAUGAAAAGGCAAUAUUAUGAGGCAUUCAUUAGUAAAAAGAGAUUGGGCAGACGAUUAAAUGUUAAAUUCUCGUCUUUAUCAUAGUUAGUUUAUGCAAAAGAAAAUUAUCCUAAAGAAUAUGAAAAGAGAUUGCGUUUUUGGGCGAGUCGUUUUUUUCGCUUUUUUCCUAUGUUUUGUAAUAGUUGUCCAAGAAGCAUUGAUGCAAAUUUGAAAUGAAACUUUAGAGAUUGUCAAACAUUAAUUUCCACAAAAUAUAAGAAUUUUCCAGAUAUUUAACAAACAUACAUUUUGCAUUCAUGGUUCCCUUGAACAAGAUGUUGCAAAAUUUCCCCAAAUGCAAAAAAGCCUUCAUAAUUGUAUUGAAGGUGAAAAAUAUCUUCUCAUUUUAUUUUCAAAAUAUAGUUUAAAUACACAACAACAAUACAAUCUUUUUUGUAAAACGAAAAUGUAUUAUGAUUUAUGAGGCAUUUAUUUGUAUUGGCAACAAGUAGUACUAGGUAAUGAGUUAAAAGAGAUUGAGCAAACCAUUAAACGUUAAAUUCUCAUCUUUAUCAUAUUUGGUUUCUACAAAAAAAAAAUUAUCCUAAAGAAUAUGAAAAGAGAUUGAGUUUUUGGGCGAGUUGUCUUUUUUUCCGUUUUUUUCCUAUGUGUUCUAAUAGUUUUCCAUGAAGCAUUUACUUGAGGAAAUGCCCUAAUGAAGUCUUUUUACUAAUGGUAUUGAAAAAUGCGUAAUUUUUUUUUUUUUUGUCAUCAAUAAAGGUCGUAUUCAGCCAGGCAAGAAGAUAUUUAGUAGUUAUUUAAUUAAACUAGCUCUGGCAUAAAAUUAGUGUUUAAAAUAUUAGUAUUUGGUAGAAAUAUCGAUACACAAAUUUAUGGAAAUAUCGAUAUCGGUUGAUUUUGAUGAAAAUGAUGCAAAUUUGAAAUGAAACUUUAGGUAUUGUCAAAGAUUAAUUUCGAUGAAAUAUAAGAAUUUCCUGAUAUUUAACAAACAUACAUUUUGUUUUCUUGUUGCUCUUCGUUCAUUAUUUUUCAUUACAAGUAGGGCAAGAAAAAAUUUCAGACAAGAACAACGUUUUUGUACUAUAAUGCGUCCAAAAGGAGUGGACUAAUAGGGACUUGCCAUGUUACAAACGGUCAUACAUGCAAACAAAUUCAACUAGAAAAGUUCAAUAUGUUUGUCCACGUGGCGAUCAAGGGUGAAAAGUUACAUUAUUUGUGUUCCCACAUCUGUCCAAAGAGAAUGUUUCCUCUUGCAAAGCUUGUCUAUUGGCAUAUAUAGCUUUGGAGAGCAGAGGGAGGCAAGAACACAAAUGAAAAACAAUAUAAAUGAAACCAGCAUUUUUUCGUACAUUUUCUGUCUCCAAACCAGUAUCUCAUCAAAUUUGAAAUUUUUCCACACGAAGAGCCUCAAAAUGUCAUUUGGGAUUGUGAUUCGUCUGCAUUGUAAGUUUUGUUCUCUUUCUUUUUUGGAAUAUUUGUUCAUGUUUUUUAUGGUUGUACGUUCUCUCUACGUUUACACAAGGCAUUCAUGGUUCCCUUGAACAAGACGUUGCAAAAUUUCCUCAAAUGGCAAAGCCUUCAUAAUUGUAUCGAAGGUGAAAAAUAUCUUCUCAUUUUAUUUUCAAAAUAUAGUUUAAAUAUACAACAAAAAUACAAUCUUUCUUUUGGAAAGUGAAAAUGCAAUAUUAUGAGGCAUUCAUUAGUAAAAAGAGAUUGAGCAGACAAUUAAAUGUUAAAUUCUCGUAUUUAUCAUAGUUAGUUUAUGUAAAAGAAAAUUAUCCUAAAGAAUAUGAAAAGAAAUUGCGUUUUUGGGCGAGUCGUUUUUUUCACAUUUUUCCUAUGUGUUCUAAUAGUUUUCCAUGAAGCAUACCUUGAAAACAUGCCCUAAUGAAGUCUUUUUACAAAUGGUAUAGGAAAAUGCGAAAAAAAAGUUUUUUUUUUGGUUUUUGGUCAUCAAUAAGGGUCGUAUUCAGCUGGGCAAGAAGAUAUUUAGUAGCUAUUUAAUUAAACUAGCUCUCGCAUAAAAUUAGUGUUUAAAAUAUCAGUAUUGGUAGAAAUAUCAACACACAAAUUUAUGGAAAUAUUGACAAAUAUCGAUAUCGAUUGAUUUUGAUGAAAAUGAGGCAAAUUUGUAAUGAAACUUUAGGGAUUGUUAAACAUUAAUUUCGACGAAAUAUAAUAAUUUUCCCGAUAUUUAACAAACAUACAUUUUGUUUUCUUGUUGCUCUUCGUUUAUUAUUUUUCAUUACGAGUAGGGCAAAACAAAAUUUCAGACAAAGAUAACGUUUUUGUACUACAAUGCGUCUAAAAGGAGUGGACCAAUGGGGACUUGCCAUGUUACAAACGGUCACACAUGCAAACAAAUUCAACUAGAAAAGUUCAAUAUGCUAGUCCACGUGGCGAUCAAGGGUGAAAAGUUACAUUAUUUGUGUUCCCACAUAUGUCAGCAACGAAUGUUUCCUCUUGCAAAGCUUGUCUAUUGACAUAUAGCUCUGAAGAGCAAAAGGAGGCAGCAAUACAAAUGAAAUAGCAACAUAAAUGAAACCACCAUUUUUUCAUACUUCUUCUGUCUCCAAACCAGUAUCUCAUCAAACCAAUUGAACUUUUUUCGGAAAAUGUUUCACAUGAAGAGCUUCAGAACUUCAUUUGAGAUUGUGAUUUGUUUGCAUUGUAAGUUUUGUUCUCUUUCCUUAUUGGAAUAUGUUUUCAUUUUUUUUAUGGUUGUACCUUCUCGCUACGUUUACACAAGGCAUUCAUGGUUCCCUUGAACAAGACGUUGCAAAAUCUCCCCAAAUGGAAAAAGCCUUCAUAAUUGUAUUGAAGGUGAAAAAUAUCUUCUCAUUUAUUUUCAAAAUAUAGUUUAAAUACACAACAAAAAAUACAGUCUUUUUUGUAAAAUGAAAAUGCAUUAUUAUGAUUUAUGAGGCAUUUAUUUGUACUGGCAACAAGUAGUACUAGUUACUGAGUAAAAAGAGAUUGAGCAGAUGAUUAAACAUUGAAUUCUUGUCCUUAUCAUAUUUAGUUGAUGCAAAAGAAAAUUAUCCUAAAGAAUAUAAAAAAAGAUUGAAUUUUUGGGCAAGUCGUUUUUUUUGCUUUUUUCCCAUGUUUCUAAUAGUUUUCCACGAAGCAUUUAUUUGAAGACAUGCCCUAAUGAAGUCUUUUUACUAAUGGUAUAGAAAAAUGCAUAAAAAAUGUUUUUUUUGUCAUCAAUAAAGGUUGUAUUCAACUGGCCAAGAAGAUAUUUUGUAGCUAUUUAAUUAAAUUAGCUCUCCAAUAAAAAUAAUGUUUAAAAUAUUAGUAUUAGUAGAAAUAUCGAUACACAAAUUUAUGGAAAUAUCGGAAGAUAUCGAUAUCGAUAUCAAUUGAUUAUGAUGAAAAUGAUGCAAAUUUGCAAUGAAACUUUAGGGAUUGUCAAACAUUAAUUUCGACGAAAUAUAAAUUUCCCGAUAUUUAACUAACAUACAUUUUGUUUUCUUGUUGUUCUUUGUUCAUUAUUUUUCAUUACGAGUAGGGCAAAACAAAAUUUCAGGCAAGUACAACGUUUUUGUACUACAAUGCAUCCCAAAGGAGUGGCCCAAUGGGGACUUGCCAUCUUACAAAAGGUCAAACAUGCAAACAAAUUCAACUAGAAAAGUUUAAUGUGCUAGUCCACGUGGUGAUUAAGGGUAAAAAGUUACAUUAUUUGUGUUCCCACGUCUGUCUACAACGAAUGUUUCCUCUUGCAAAGCUUAUUUAUUGGCAUAUAGCUCUGGAGAGCAGAGGGAGGCAGCAAUAUAAAAGAAACAGCAACAUAAAUGAAACCAGCAUAUUUUCAUACUUUUUUUGUCUCCAAACCAGUAUCUCAUCAAUUCGUUCGAAAUUUUUUCGAAUUUUUUUUUCACACGAACAGUUUUAGAACUUCAUUUGGGAUUGAGAUUUGUCUGCAUUGUAGGUUUUGUUUUCUUUCUAUUUUGAAAUAUGUUUUCAUUUUUUUUAAUGGUUGUAGCUUCUCGCUUCGUUUACACAAGGCUUUCAUGGUUCCCUUGAACAAGACAUUGCCAAAUUUCCCCAAAUGGAAAAAGCCUUCAUAAUUGUAUUGAAGGUGAAAAAUAACUUCUCAUUUUAUUUUCAAAAUAUAGUUUAAAUACACAACAAAAAUAAAAAUUUUUUUUUUGUAAAACGAAAAUGCAUUAUUAUGAUUUAUGAGGCAUUUAUUUGUAUUGGCAACAACUAGUACUAGUUACUGAGUAAAAAGAGAUUGAGCAGACGAUUAAACGUUAAAUUCUUGUCUUUACCAUAUUUAGUUUAUGCAAAAGAAAAUUAUCCUAAAGAAUAUGAAAAGAGAUUGAGUUUUUGGGCGAGUCAUUUUUUUCUCUUUUUUCCUAUGUGUUCUAAUAGUUUUCCACGAAGCAUUUACUUGAAGACAUCCCUUAAUGAAGUCUUUUUACUAAUGGUAUAGAAAAAUGCGUAAAAAAAAUGUUUUUUUUUUGUCAUCAAUAAGGGUUGUAUUUAGCUGGGCUAGAAGAUAUUUAAUUAAACUAGCUCUCACAUGAAAAUAGUGUUUAAAAUAUCAGUAUCGGUAGAAAUAUCGAUACAUAAAUUUAUGGAAAUAUCAACAAAUAUUGAUAUCGGUUGAUUUUGAUGAAAAUGAUGCAAAUUUGAAAUGAAACUUUAGCAAUUGUCAAACAUCAAUUUUGACGAAAUAUAAGAUUUUUUCCGAUAUUUAACAAACAUACAUUUUGUUUUCUUGUUGCUAUUCGUUCAUUAUUUUUCAUUACGAGUAGGGCAAAACAAAAUUUCAGACAAGAACAACGUUUUUGUACUACAAUGCGUACAAAAGGAGUGGGCCAAUGGGUACUUGCCGUGUUACAAAAGGUCAAACAUGCAAACAAAUUCAAUUAGAAAAGUUCAAUGUGCUAGUCCACGUGGCGAUUAAGGGUGAAAAGUUACAUUAUUUGUGUUCCCACAUCUGUUCGCAACGAAUGUUUCUUCUUGCAAACCUUGUCUAUUGGCAUAUAUCUCUAGAGAGCAAAGGGAGGCAGCAACACAAAUGAAACCAACAUUUUUUCAUACUUUUUCUGUCUCCAAACCAGUAUCUCAUCAAAUCGUUUGAAAAUUUUCUAAGAAAUUUUUCACACGAAGAGCUUCAAAACUUCAUUUGGGAUUGUGAUUUGUUUGCAUUGUAAGUUUUGUUCUCUUUCUUUUUUGGAAUAUGUUUUCAUUUUUCUUUAUGAUUGUACGUUCUUACUACGUUUACACAAGGCAUUCAUGAUGGAAAAAGCCUUCAUAAUUGUAUAGAAGGUGAAAAAUAUCUUCUCAUUUUAUUUUCAAAAUAUAGUUUAAAUAUGCAACAAGAAUACAAUCUUUUUUUGUAAAAUGAAAAGGCAAUAUUAUGAGGCAUUUAUUUGUAAUUGUUCACCCAAGUAAACAACUGGCAACAAGUAGUACUAGUUCCGAGUAGAACUAGAAAGAGAUAGAGCCAACGACGUAAAAUUCUUGUCUUUAUCAUAUUUAAUUUAUCCAAAAGAAAAUUAUAUUAAAGAAUACGAAAAGAGACUGCAUUUUUGGGUGAGUCGCUUUUUUCUGUUUGUUGAAAUCAUGAACGAAUUGGAAAAAAAAAGGCGACCAAAUGUUUAUUACCACAUGUGUCCUUAAAUUAGAAAGUAAAAUUCGUAUCAAGUGUUUCUUGUGUUAUAAUAGUUUUCGAUGAAAAAUUUACUUAAAGACAUGCCCUAAUGAAGUCUUUUCACUAAUGGUACAAAAAAAUGCGCAAAAUAAAGUUUUUUUUUUUGUCAUAAAAUAAUGGUCGUAUUCAGCAAGCUGUGAAGAUAUUCGAUAGCUAUCCAAUUAAAUUAACUCUCACAUAAAAUUAAUGUGUAAGUUAUAGGUAUUAAUAGAAAUAUCGAUAUGCAAGUUUAUGGAAAUAUCGACAGAUAUCGAUAUUGAUAUCGGUUAAUUUGGAAGGAAACGAUGAAAUUUUAAAAUAAAACUGUACUGAUUGUCAAACAUUGAUUUCGAUGAAAUUAAGAGUUUUUCUAAUAUUUAUCAGAUAUACAUUUUGUGUCUGAUCCGUAUUGACUUAUUCCAAAAUAUAAAAAUCAUGAGAAAUGGGGUGAAAUGGGUAUCAGUUGUAGUGGCAUAUUUUGUAAUUUUUGUUUAUUUUAAAUGCAUUUAAGUAUCAUAAUACAUGAUUGACCUAUUUAUAAUUAACAUAAAUAUUGUUGAUAUAUUUGUUCAUAUUGUAACUUUUUAAUUGAUUUUAUACAAAAUAACCCUGGUAUAUGCAUAUCACGUUGUCACAUAAAUAUUACUUCAAAAUAAAAAUAAAAAACAUUUUUCUUUCAAGUAUUACAUACUCCAAAAUAAGAGCCUAAUAAAAAAAUUAGUCUAGUACUACAAAAUACUAAAUGUUCAACGAUAUGCAAAAUGAAGGGAGUUGUCUUUUAAGGUUGAAGAACCUUACACGUUUUUUACAAUAAAACCCUUCAAUUUCAUCAAUCAUCAAGGAAAAUGGUAUUGGAACUUUGACUUGAUAUAUUGUCUUCAAGAGUUAUAUUGAGAAUGUUUUCAUUAAAGCUUUCCACAUUAGCACUCUCUUCUAUAUAAACAAAGCAUCAAAACCAAACAUUGUAAACCAUUCAAAUGUGUUUGGUAUUUUUGAAUCCCUUGAUAUUUUUAUUUUUAAUGUGUUUUAUAAUUUUUUUAAUCUCAUUCUUUACUUAUAGGAUAAUAUAAAAAUCAAUAAAUAAACAAGAAUUAAAAUUUAUAUAAAAUAAUAAUACAUAUUAAUAUACAAUAAAUACAAUAUGGCUAUUGCAUUUUAUAGUAAGUUUUUUAGUAGUUUAAAAUACUAAAAUCAUCAAAAUAACUUUUUUCUUAAAGUGUAGAAAUGAGUUACUCAUGUAUCACUUUCGUGUAAACUUGUCAAUGACUGUUAUUAGCAGGUUUUUAGUGUGGCCCGCUAACAACCCGAUUAGUUAUCGCUUUGACUCGAAACCCGUUAUUUUCGUGUCGUGCUAAUAGGUCGUGUAAGAAAUUGUCAGGUCUAGUUUUGAGUCUGUUUCCAAAACCAAAAAUGGUUGUGGUUAAUUGUGGAACACUGUUACAUAUUGGACUGGAUUCUUGUAUGGCCAUAUGAUCUUGAUAUUGGGCUUUUAAAAUUGGGCAGAACAGGAAAGGCCCAUGGAACGUUGCUUGUUGCAGAUGUUGUAUGUGAUAUGUUAAAUUUUUCAGACUUAAAACUUAGUUUUGUAGGGCAGUUGGCAUUCAUGGUUCCCUUGAACAAGACGUUGCAGAGUUUCCUCAAAUGGGAAAAGCCUUCAUGAUUGUAUUGAAGGUGGAAAAUAUUUUCUCAUUUUAUUUUCAAAAUGUAGUUUAAAUAUACAACAAAAAUACAUUUUUUUUUUGUAAAAUGAAAAGGCAAUAUUAUGAGGCAUUUAUUGGUAGUUGUUCAUACAAGAAAACAACUGGCAACAAGUAGUACCAGUUCCAAGUAGAACUAGAAGGAGAUUGAGCUGAUGAUUAAACGUAAAAUUCUUGUCUUUAUCAUAUUUAGUUUAUCCAAAAGAAAAUUAUCUUAAAGAAUCCGAAAAGAGAUUGCAUUUUUGGGCGAGUUUUUUUUUUUUUGUUUGUUGAAAUCUUGAAUGAAUUGGAAAAGAAAAGGCAAUCAAAUGUUUACUACCAGACGUGUCCUUAAAUUAGAAAGGUAAAAUUCGUAUCAAGUGUUUCCUAUGGUCUAAUAGUUUUCCACGAAUCAUUUACUUGAAGACAUGCACUAAUAAGUCUUUUCACUAAUGGUGUAGAAAAAUGUGCAAAACAAAGUUUUUUUUUGUUUUUGUUUUUUUUGCCAUCAAAUAAUGGUCAUAUUCAGCAAGCCGUGAAGCAAUUUAGUAGCUAUCUAAUUAAACUAACUCUCACAUAAAAUUAGUGUAUAAGUUAUGGUUAUCAGUAGAAAUAUCAAUAUGUAAAUUUAUAGAAAUAUCGACAAAUAUCGAUAUUGAUAUCGGUUAAUUUGGAAGGAAAUGAUGAAAAUUUAAAAUAAAACUUUAUAGAUUGUCAAACAUUGAUUUCGACAAAAUGUAAGAGUUUUUCUAAUAUUUAUCAGAUAUACAUUUUGUGUCUGAUCCGUAUUGAUUUAUUCCAAAAUAUAAAAACUUUGAGAAAUGGGGUGAAAUGGGUGUCAGCUGUAGUGGCAUAUUUGUAAUUCUUGUUUAUUUUAAAUGCAUUUAAGUAUCACAAUACAUGAUUGAUUUAUUUAUAAUUAACUUAAAUAUUGUUGAUAUAUUUGUUAAUAUUGUAACUUUUUUUAUUGAUUUUAUACAAAAUCACCCUGGUAUAUGCAUACCACGUUGUCACAUAAAUAUUACUUCAAAAGAAAAACAAAAACCGUUUUUCUUUCAAGUAUUACUGUCACGCCCCGGACCCAGAGUCGGUAAUAAAAACUCAAACCCAAAUCCGAAACGCGAGUUAAAAGUAAAAAUAAAUAAAAGGAAAUUGACACGGGUUGGAAAAAUAAACUCCUCUUAUUAGAAUAACUCCAAAAUCCUUACAGGGUGUACAAAAAUAAUAAAUUAAAAUCCUUAAGCUUCUCCUCAAUCACAACGUAAGCUCUUCUAACACCCGUCUUGCCAAAUAACAUCUGUCUUGCCAAAUAACUCAUCUGUAAAAUAAUAGGUGAGGGGUGAGCAACAACCACUGUCGCUCAGUGAGUAGAAUAUGUAAUAUGUCAGUCAAACAAUGCCUUUUUACACACACUAGAAAAUACAAUAAUAAUAUCAAAGCUUUAACCACGUAAUUUCAUAUCACAUCAUCCCUUUACGUGUUCAUUACAUCUUUCAUAAAUUGUAACUCACCACAUGACUCCUACUGGCCUUUCCGCCCUAAUGUCCCCGUGUGCAGUUUACAUUAUCCCUUUGAUUAAUGCAACACUAAAGUUCUCAUGCUCCAUGAACAUAUCCAAAUAAUCCACAUAUCACCAUAUUAAUGAUUCCAAGGGUAUUUCAACAAAUCCAACAGGCUUGACUUAAAAUAGAUAGAGAUUUAUAAAUAGAUAAAACUCAUGAUAGUUCGUGGUUUUCAUUUAUAAAAAAAUAAGAAUAUUUUGAAACACAUUACAUAAACCACUCACCUCGAUAAUCCAAGCUUUGGCAAGACAACCCAACUAACAUCUCCGCACACCUCAAACUAGCCUUCCCUUUUUCUUUUCUUCCUAAGCUCUCACUCUAACGUAAAUAUAAAUACAUACGCACAACAUAUAUAUAUAUAUAUACAUAUACAAGUAUGUAUAUGUGUAUACAUACACACACACCAAUCUCUACGUAAUGCAUGCUCUGCAAUGUCUGCAUGUUUCCUUCUUUUUAUGCUCCAAAAACAAUGGAGCAAAGCUCCUAUUUAUAGUGAAAUAGAAUGGCUCCAAGACUUGAGCUCCAAGGAAAAUAUACAAUAACAUAUAUGAAAUCAUAUCCGUAAACUCCUACAUGUGUAUGAAGGUGAUACUUUUCUUGCGACACCUAUUGUAGUAUCAAGAUCUUAGUCACUAGUUAUGCAAGGUGUCAAUUGCAUUUGUGCAAAGGAUGACACGUCCAGGUAAAUAGCCUUGUAAAAUCAGCACACUAGAGUGCUUACUAAUCACCCAUUUCUCUCUCCCAAGAUAGUUAAGACUAGUACUGAUAGGAGCUAGGCACGUGGUAUAUAAUAAUAAUAAUAACAAAUAUUUACUUUUAAAAUACGGGAUCUUACAAUUACAUGCCCCAAAAUAAGAGCGUCAUAAAAAAAAAUUAGCAUAGUACAACAAAAUAUCACAUGUUCAAGGAUAUGCAAAAUGAAGGGAGUUGCGUUUUAAGGUUGAAGAACCUUACACGUUUUUUUACAAUAAAACCCUUCAAUUUCAUCAAUCACCAAGGAAAAUGAUAUUGGAACUUUGGCUUGAUAUAUUGUCAUUAAGAGUUAUAUUGAGAAUGUUUUCAUUAAAGCAUUCCACAUUAGCACUCUCUUCCAUUUAAACAAAGCAUCAAAACCAAACAUUGUAAACCAUUCAAAUGUGUUUGGUAUUUUUGAAUCACUUGAUAUUUUUAUUUUUAAUGUGUUUUAUAAUUUUUUUAAUCUCAUUCUAUGCCUAUAGGAUAAUAUAAAAAUCAAUAAAUAAACAAAAAUUUAAAUUUAAAAUUUAUAUAAAAUAAUAAUACAUAUUAAUAUACAAUAUAUACACUAUGGCUAUUGUAUAGUAAGUUUUUUUAGUAGUGUAAAAUACUAAAAUCAUCAAAUUAACUUUUUUCUUAAUGUGUCGAAACAAGUUACUCGCGGUUCACUUUCGUGUAAACCUGUCAAGGGCUGUUAUUAGUAGGUUCUUAUCGUGUAGCCCGAUAACAACCCUAUUAGUUAUCGUGUUGACUCGAAACCCGUUAUUUUCGUGUCGUGUUAAUAGGUUGUGUAAGAAACUGUCAAGUCUAGUUUUGAGUCUGUUUUCAAAACCAAAAAUGGUCAUGGUUAAUUGUGGAACACUGUUACAUAUUGGACUGGAUUCUUGGAGGCCCAUAUGAUCUUGAUAUUGGGCUUUUAACAUUGGGCAGGAUAGGCAAGGCCCAUGAAACGUUGCUUGUUGCAAAUGUUGUCUGUGCUUUGUUACAUUUUUUAGACUUCGAGUUCUGUAGGGCAACUGGCAUUCAUGGUUCCCUUAAACAAGACAUUGCAAAAUUUCCUCAAAUGGGAAAAGCCUUCAUAAUUGUAUUGAAGGUGGAAAAUAUCUUCUCAUUUUAUUUUCAAAAUAUAGUUUAAAUAUACAACAAAAAAGAGAUUGAGCCGACGAUUAAACGUAAAAUUCUUGUCUUUAUCAUAUUUAGUUUAUCCAAAAGAAAAUUAUCUUAAAGAAUACGAAAAGGGACUGCGUUUUUGGGCGAGUUGCUUUUUUCGGUUUAUUGAAAUCAUGAAUGAAUUUGAAAAGAAAAGGCAACCAAAUGUUUAUUACCACACGUGUCCUUAAAUUAGAAAGUAAAAUUCGUAUCAAGUGUUCCUAUAUUCUAAUAGUUUUCCACGAAACAUUUCCUUGAAAACAUGCACUAAUGAAGUCUUUUCACUAAUGGUAUAGAAAAUGUGCAAAAGAAAGGUUAUAAUUUCUUUUUCUAAUUUAAUUUAAAUAUACUAUGUUUCAUGGGGAUUCUGCUUCCAAGCUUCAAAACAAGAGCAAAGAGCAAUAUCGGUCUCGACAACUCUAUAAGAUCCGAUUGAUACUUUUAUAUACUAUUUCACACUAAGACACAUUAAAAAGCCUGCUUACUUGAAUCAUGUCCUCUUUGGGUCCUAAUUUUGGUGGCAUGGGUUUAACAGGUGUAGCUAAAGAAGACAUCCGCUUGAUGAAAGUUCCAAUUAUAACCUUUCAUGAAGUAAAUCUUUCGGGGGCGAAUUCUCGAAAUUCAUACAGUGACUAGACUUUUGGUUCUUCCGAGUGUCUAAGUCAGAGGGAAGACGUUGAUCGAAAAAUGACAAGAGGUGCAUUGAUCUCCUUACUUGUGGUUCAUGUAGAAAUACAAAAUUUUUGUGUUGUUAUACUGUGCUUUCUCUCCUUUUUAGUUUGCUACUUCCUGCUUAAUAGAUCAUUAAUAGAUUACUUCUUUAAAGAAAACGCCUAACUUGUUAUCUCUUGCACAAAAGGAUUUAAAUCUAAGAAGGGUACCAUAGUUUCGGCCAUGCUUUUGGAGAAUGGCUUUAUAUUGGGAUUGGAUGCAAGGAUCGUCGAUCUUGACAACACUAGAAGUAAUUUUCUCUAUCUCGAUUUAUUAUUUUCGAUUAAUCUACUAUUAUUUUUUAUUUCAAUGUAUUUAGAUAUGUAUUUUGUAUUUCUUCUUCUUCUAGUAAUAGCCGAUAACCUUAAAAUUCAAACAAUUCUCGAGAACCCACCUAUUCUUGGUUUGAUGUGCGGUGACUUUGGAGCAACGGAGAAUUUAGUUGAUGAUUUAAAGUCUACGACAACAAGUAAUGCAUCAAUGAAAGCACUUGUUGACAGUGGAACUUCCUUUGUAAACCAAGACCAUGGCUGUGUUGCAUUUUCAACGUAUAUAUGCUACAUAGAAGAUGGAGUUCCAAGCGGCUACAUAUUUUGUUUUGUCCCUGAUUUCAACCAUGACAAACAAUGCAAAGAAGACUAUAGUUGUAAGUGUCCGAUAGUUGGGAUUAGAAGAGGUGCUCAAAAGUUGCAGUAUGCUGCGUACAAUGAUGGAUCGAGUGUAGGUGAUGAACACUAUCAUUUGUCUUUACCAUUUUAUGAUGGAAAUAGAGUGAAAAAUGUUGAUACUGCUGACGACUACAAGAUUGUGAACAUUAAGAGAAAACUGAAGAUGAAUUUGAAACAAGUAACAAGGAUCACCCUUUUUGCAAUGCUUUAUGCUUGUUUGGAGGAUAAUGAUUGCGGUGCUCCGUUUAGAUGUAAUUAAGAUAUAAAAAAAAAUUGUAUUUUUUGUUUUAUUGUAGAUAUAGUAUAUACCAAAUUCAUAGAUUGUUACUGUUUUCCUUUUCUUUUCAGUGUGCAGUUUUAGCACAGGGGGAAAAGUUGAGAUUAAGGCCCCCUAUGGUUUCAUUGAAACCUAUCUCGAGUUUUAUGAGGGUUUGAAGGAUACAUGGUUCUUGAUAUAUAACAAAAGACUUGAGGGGUCAAACUUUGGCCACUUUGUUGUUGAACAUAUCCCCGUAAGUUUGCUUUUGGGCUUUAUUUAAGUUAUACUUAGGUUGUUUAGUUUGUUUUUUAAACUUUUAAUGUGGUUACAGGAUUGUGCGUGAAAAGUUGAAAUAUGAAAGACAUCAGGUGGUCCUAUUGGAAGAAGACCUUUGUUUAACAUUCGAAGACCCAUAUCGAAAUUUAUGUUUUAAAUAGGAAAAUUUUGAAAAUACCCUUAGUGAAUGAAAGGUUGACUUUCAUUGACUUUUGUCCGUGGGCAUGUUAGAAAUUUUCAUUUAUUUUAUUUCCAUAGCUUUCGUCGAUACGAACGCAUGGGCGUGAUCGGAAUCGAAAUUGGAGCUAAAACGAAGCUUUUACGAUUUUUGGAAGAUAGGGACGAUUUUUUAAUUUUACAAGGGGAGAUUUUUCUACACUUUGGGCCUCGCCGACACGUGGCGAUUCCCACCCCAUUUCUGGGAUUUGGAUCCUCUCUAGAUCCCCUCCCUGGGGAUCCCGGGGAUCAUUGCACGAGGACUGUUCAUCAAAGAUCGUGCGGCCACAGUUAAAUGUUUUUUAUAUUUUUAAAAGUAAAGCAAUCUCGUUUUACGUAAAAAAUAUUUAAUUGUGGCCGCACGAUAUUUGAUGAACGGUCAUCGUGCAUUGAUCCCCGGGAUCCCCAGGGAGGGGAUCUGGAGAGGAUCCAAAUCCCCAUUUCUAGGGUGUUUUCUUCCCUAGUGAACCAUCUCUCUCUCUAGAACACUCUUGCUCUGUCUCUCUCUGUCUCUCUCUUAACUCUACUAUCUUCUCCCUUCUCCGGCGACGACACACACGCAUACACACAUACACUUAGGCAACAAUCAUCACCACCACACCAUCACCACCACCACCACAUGGACCCUCCCUCUCUCUCUCUCUCGGCACUGUGCACAACCACUGUGUACUCCAUUUUCCGAUGAGGAAUACCCGGGGGAAACUUUUUCUAGUUUUUCAGCGAAGGUCCGUGAAUUGCAAGCCAUAUUUCGGCCGAUCUUGACGUCAACUCAACCCCAUCUUGGUGCAUCUGGUGGAAGUGAUCGAAUCCUCCCUAAUUCAAGCGGUUCUCCGAGAGAGGAAUAUUUGUGAGUUGACCCCUUCUUAACUUGCAUGAUUUUAUAAAAUAUUAGGUUUGCAUGCAUUGCAUAUUUCAUGAAAUAAGCAUGUUUUCUAUUAUGUUUUAUGGAUUCUAUAUUCAUGCUUUUGGAAUAUUUAUGAUUUAUCAAAAUUACAUUUUGCUAAAGGAUAUAAAUUAUUAGAUUUCUAUAUAUAAAACUCUUUGCUUUCGAAUAUGAUCUAUUUUACGGAUUUAAGAAUAUGUGCUAUCAUGAAUUUAUGAGAUGAGACUUUGAGCUUUUGAGUUCCGGGUUUAAUAUAAGAUUUUGAGGUAUGUUUUCGGUACGUAUCUAGUGGGUUAUCAUACAACACAUCCACACAACACGGGUAUGUAGACAUCUAUAGCCAUAUGAUACAGUUGAUGAGGAGUGAGAUGAGAUAUUAUGAUAUACCCCCAGCUUCACUGCCGGAAGCAAUGUCGGACAACUUCACUAGCCACGGCUAGUGUCGGUGUGUGAUGUAUAUAUUUUCUUUUUCGGCGUAACCCGGAAUCGUACAGCUUCACCUUCGAGUGAUAGAGCUUACCAUGCUUCUUCAAUGGCAUAACCCAGUGUCGUACAGUUUUACCUUCGGGUGAUGGACAGGUACUGCCUUCGGGCAACUAUGAUGUGAUUUAUGGAUUGGCCUUCGGGCGAUGAUAGCAGCGUUAUCGAGCAUGGUUUUACUCGUACUUGUUUAUGAAUGUUUUUCAUGGCAUGUAGAGUUUUCAAAAAACUUAAUAUGUAGUACUAUAUAUAUGUUUUCAAAAUAGAGGUUAGUACGUUCUAAAAGAAAUCGGUUUUCUUACUAUUAGUAUUAUUAUAAAUUAUGGUCCACUCACCUUUUCUGUUUUGCGCCCCUUCAAGACAUAGUGACGAGGAGUACGAUCCGAGUAUCGAGGUCUUCCCCUAUCAGUGACUUUGCUUACCUUCACUUGAGUAUGACUUCUCUUUAUGAUCAUUGUUACUUGUUGUUCUACUUUCUUUGGCACUUUCAUUUUAUAGUAUGCUCUGGACAUAUUCAUUAUCGUUGGAUAUCUUGCUUCUCGAUGUUGCGUAUUUGUUGUGAAUGUUAUUCUUGCAUAAUUUCUAGUUUAUUUAUUCUUUCAUAUUCUCAUAGAUUCAUUUAUUUAGGGUGCGUUUGGUACGCGGGACGGGACGGGAUGAAACGGGACGAAGCGUUCCGUCCCGCGUUUGGUACGCUAAAAAAAGGUGGAACGCGCUGUUCCACGGGACAGAAUUUGGGUGUUUUUUGGUCUCGCGUCUACCCCCUGGAACGGGUUGUUCCACGCCUGUGGAACACAAUAUUUUACCAUUUUAAGACAAAUAUACCCCAUAUCUUUUUCAAAAAUUACACCAUCUAAAUCAUUACAAACCCUAAAACAAUAUCUCUUCUCUCUGUCUGCCGUUGUCUUCCUCAUUCCUCUCCUCUGCAUCUCCCCCCCCCUUCGCAACCUUCCUCCUCAUCCUCUGCAUCUCCCCUUUGUAACCUUCUCUGUGAACUUCAGCUCUGCAUCUCCAGUCCAAGUACGAUCUGCCUCUCAGUCUCUCUUUCUUUGUAUUGCUUCGAUCUGCAACUGAAAAAAAAAAAAUUGCUUCCAGGAGAUCUGAUGCAUUUUUCUUUCUGUUCAUACUCUUAAAUUUUUGGAACCCACCAUCCUAAUGUAUUAGAGUUCCAAUCUAGCUUUAUAUGCAACAGCCAUCAACUCACUCAAUUUGUUAGGGACACACGAACACUGAUUUGGUGAAAACACGCCUCCAAAAUAUAAGACUUGAUUUUGGGAUUUCCCUUCUAUUUAGUUUGCUGCAGUAAUAAAAUCAGAAAAUUAAAAAACAUGUUCAUUUCUGAACAAAAAAAAUCUCACAGUUAAUUUGAACUCCUUGAGUUCCCAGUUUCAUUCCUGGAAUUGGAGCCCUUCAGCCAUAUUAUUAUUUUUGUCUAGUCGCAGUUGUUCUUUUGUGCGGAUUAAUUACAAAUAGGUUGAAGAAAUUAAAAGAAAUAGCAGAAAUGGGUAUCAUUUUUAGAUAGAAUUAGUACCAGUAACCAUUUUAGGAUACGGAUUGCACAUCUGAAGUUCAAUUGAACAGGGAUAAGUUAGUCAUUUUCAUAUUUUGGUUCCGUUCUCUGUCCUGCGCACCAAACGCAGAACGGAACAACUCUCCAUUCUGUCCUGCACAUACCAAACGUAACAUGGGACCACUGUUCCGUUCCGUCCCGUUCCGUCCCGUUCCGUCCCGUCCUAUCCCGUCUGCGUACCAAACGCUACCUUAUGGCUUUCGUCAUGCUUUACUGUUGGCCAGCACAUGCCAUCCAGGUGUCAUAAGGAUAUCUUGGUUGUAGCGUAUCAUGCAGCUUUGGAAGUUGCAUCGCCAUGUUCGUCUCAUACUAGACUUUUUGAAAUGAAUAUGAAUGAGGCGAUAGAGACGAAUUUUGAGGCAUUCAAGUUAGCGAAGUUCUCAAACGAAGAAAUCACAAUGUAUGCAGAAAACGAAAAGAUUUACAUGGCAUAGCCUUCAGAAAAGUUCUUGAAAUCAUUGACAGACAAUAUCACCGCGCUUGAAGAGUUUGAUUGAAGAUUAGUGGUAAACCAAAUUAGAAUCCAUUGGUGUAGGUCUAGAGUUUGGUAAAUUAAAGUAGGAUUUGGAUUGUAAGACACUUAUUGCAAUUCAUGGUUUGCCAAUAUAUACUUUGUUGUUGCUGCUUCUAUCUGGCUUCUUAGAUGAGAUUUGUUUUUAAUUGAAAAUUACUGUGAGUGAUUUUUGAUGAAACUAUUCAUCAACCGAUAACAGCUAUAUACUAAUAUUUUAAUAUUGUUUUAUGGAGGUUGAAUUGUGCAAACUGAUAAUUUUGGUUUUUAUACACUUGAUAUCUGAGAACAUUCUCAAAUUCUUUUUAAAAAAUUGAAUUUUAAACUUUUUAGUUUAUCUAUGAAUUGUAUGCAAUGUCAAGUGAAUUAUACAGUGUUGGCCCUUUAAUUUGAAUUUAUUUGUUCAGAUUUUAAGAGCAAAAUUACAGUCGGCAGAAAAUUUUUAAUAAAGUUUUAGAAUAUACCAUUUCUUCACUUCCGUAUACUGUUUGUAAAUAGGAGGAAAUCUUUUUUUCCAAUAUAUGGAACAUUGGCUGCAGUUAGUGGAUCUCUAUUUCUCAUUUUGGAAAUCCAUUGUAUCUCAUUUUGGUUUCUGUUGAUAGUGAAAUUGGAUUUACUCUCAUCUCAAUUAUGGAAUGUACGUUAUUGGAAAAUUUUAGAGGUUAGAAAAGAAUUUAGAAUCCGUUGAUGCACAAAACUAGAAGUCUUGGAACAACGUAAAUCCGACCGUGAAUCUGCAAGAAAUGUAAAUAACACAAGAUGUAUCGUGGUUCACCCCAAGGUUUGGGCUAUGUUCACACUGAUUAUGUAUUUAUCUGAGAGAAAGAGAGCUCUGAGAGUGAGAGCUUUGAGAGGGUGAGGAGCCUUAGGAAUUGGUCUCUCCCAAUUGUGAGGGUGAGGGAUCCUUUUAUAGAAUAAAGACUCCUCAUUUAUUACAUAUUUGUCCAUUCCUUUAUUACAUAAUUACAUUUAAGUCCUCCAAGUAUUUAUACGAGGUCUAAAUAUGAGGCUCUAAAUAUGGUAUAAACAGAAUCAAUUAGAAAACAAUUCACAAACUUCAUUUGGUGUAAAGUGAAUCAUUAUAGUUAAGGAGACUCGACCAAAAUCCUUACCUCUCAUUCCUUUUAUUUAAUCCCUUCACACACUUAUAUAAUCAUUUUUUUUCUCUAGAAUAUUUUUUAUAAUAUUUUUUUUUAGUAAUAGUAGUAGUCGUGUAAUGUCGGUUUCCUUAAGCUUUUGAUCCAACCCAUGUAGCGAGCUUUAGGUCAAUGACUCCCAAACCACUAGGGAUUCAGGGCACUAGGUGUAGAACACCCCUAAGGACUUAUUAACUCGAGCUGAAAAGGCUACGAAACCAACUAAUCAUCUUGCCCCAUGCCAAAACUCUACCGUUUGAAGCGAGAAUCAUUGCUAAUUAGCAGGACUGACCCGGUUACUAAGCAAAGUCUCGGGUGGAACAAUUAUUACUUUAUAACACAUACUAACUUUAUUUUCUAUAUAACAAAAAUUAAAAUGCAUUUAGACAAAAAGUAAGUACUUCAAUCUCACUUCCCGAUGUUGGUGUAAAUGUGCAAAUUUCAAAGUAUAAUUCAUGAAUUAAUGUCUAAGCAAUAAUAAAUAGAAAAGACUUUAAUAUGAGAUAAUCUUCAACAAUGUUCAUUUGUUCUAACGUUUCAAAUAAUUUAUGAAUAUUAACUAAGAAAAAUGAAAAAUUUUAACUGACACAAACAUUGAAGUCCUAACACUUAACUUUCCCACCUCCAAACUUAUAUCACACAUUAUCCUGAGGUGUGGAAAAUAAAAUAAAGAAAAAGAAAUUGACAAAAGAAAAUAAACUAGAUAAAAACAACCUAAACUCAAAUAAAUAAACUACACUAAAGAAAAACAUGAAACGAAAACGAAAAAAAACUAAAAGAAACGGAACUAACAGAAAAACAAAAUAAUUUAGAAAAAAAAAACAAAAUAAAGAAAGAGAUAACCUGGGGUUUCGAACUCAGGAGGAUGAUGGACAAAAGGUGCUGGGCUUCUCACGGGCUGAAUGAUGAGCCAAUAUUGAUGGCAGCUAUAAAGAAAGCCUUGGAAGAAUUUGAUCUGGGCCGCGAGAAACAAACAGGCAGACAUAAGGCAGCCCACUUAUCAGCUCACACACAAGCCACACGCGUGCACAAGAAACCCUAGCCGCCUUAAUCCAACAUUGGAUGCUCUUUAUGCACUUGCCUCGAGCCCAGAGCCUCUCUGUCCCCCCAUUUUCAAAAUAGUCCUUUCAUCUUCAGACACGGAAUGCACGCGAUUUAGACACGUGGCAUGGAUCCGUGCAAUUAACUCCUUAGGGUUCCCAUAACACAUGCAUCUUAUCCGCCCGUUUUCAUUUCCGCCACUCUCCCUCUCUAGAAAAUCCGAAAAGAGCUCCCGGUUCCCCAAUCUCAAGCCGAGCGCCCAUUUGUACAACCAUCCAUUUCAUAGCAACUAAAUCCAAGCUCUGCAUCCGUGUCUCUCUAACCCAUCCAUGAUGGAGCGAGCUGAAAAACUGCGUUUUUGUCCGUAUGAGGUUCCCCGAACAUGCAAAUCGGAGGAAAACAACAAGAUAAACCCUCCCGAUUUGCCAGCUCCGAGAGCGCAGAGGUCAUCAAGCUUCCCCCAAACUUGCAAUCACAGAUCCGGCCUACACCUCAGGUAAACAAAAAUUGACCCUCAUUUCCUUUAAUCUUCUAAUGUACAACACAAUCUGCCACAAUGCAUGUGUUGGAUCCGUUGAUUUCGUAAUACACACCCCACGGAUUUAAACCGAGCUCAAAGCGGAGAGUUGGUUUUGUAGGAAAAAAAAAAUUCAUAUUUGUGGUCUGCAUGAGACAAAGGAAAGGAUGUCCUCUCGGAGAUACAAAGGAAAGGAUGUCCUCUCGGAGAUCACAGAUCUGAGCAAACAUAAGGUAUAAAACACUUAUAAUUUCAAGCAUGUGUACUGAUCUGCAAAACAUAGCUGUCUUUAUCUGUAUUUGCUCAUAGCAUGUUUUUUUCUGUGCAGGACACACGGAUCCAUUGUACAGCCGAGAGAUAGGAAAUAUUGAAUGUUCGUAAUCUUGUAGUCGGCAGUAUCAAUAUUUUUCGCCCUGAUUUUAUCAGAAAACGGUAAGUACAAAUAUUCUAGUGCAUCACUUGCACCCGAUCCAUCAUUGUAAAUAGUAGUAUAAUGCAACUCCCUAGCACCGCGUCUAAUCCCAACUAUUGGACAUUUACAACUAGUCUUUUUUGCAUUCUUUUUCAUGGUUGAAAUCAGUGACAUAAUAAAAAAUAUGGCUGCUUAGAACUCCAUCUUCUAUAUACCAUAAAUAUGUUGAAAAUGCAAACUUGUCAUGAUUUUGGUUUACAAAGUCAGUUCCACUAUCAGCAAGUGCUUCCAUUGAUGCAUUAUUUGUUUCCUUAGACUUUAAAUUCUUAAUUAAAUUUUCUGUUGCUCCAAAGUCACCGCACACCAAACCAACCAUAGGUGGUUUUUUCGAGAAUUGUUUGAAUUUUAAGGUCAUCGCCUAUUACUGAAGAAAAAAAAAUACAAAAUGCAUAUCUACAGACAUUGAAAAUAAAAAAGAAUAGUGGAUUAAUCGAAAAUAAUCCACUAUUGUUUUUAAUUUUUUGUGUCUUUAAAUGUGUAUUUUGUAUAUUUUUUCUUCUUCUGUAAUAUGCGAUAAUCUUAAAAUUUAAAUUAUUCUUGAAAACCAACUAUUGUUGGUUUGGUGUGCGAUGACUUUGGAGGAACGGAGAAUUUAGUUGAGAAUUUAAAGUUUAAGGCAACAAAUAAUGCAUCAAUGGAAGCACUUGCUGACAGUGGAACUGUCUUUGUAAACCAAGAUGCAGGGAUGCAUUUUCAACAUAUAUAUGCUACAUAGAAGAUGGAUUUCCAAGCGGCUACAUUCUUUAUUAUGUUCUUGUUUUGAACCAUGCCAAAUAACGUAAAGAAGAUUAUAGUUGUAAGUGUUCAAUAGUUGGGAUUAGAUACGGUUCUCGGGAGUUGCAUUAUGCUGCUGUUUACAAUGAUGGAUCAGGUGGAAGUGAUGCACACGAUCAUUUGUAUUUACUGUUUUCUGAUGGAAUGAGGGAGAAAAAUGUUAAAUACUGCCAACGAUAAGGAACAUUAAAAGAAAAUCGAAGAUGAAUUCAGAAGGAUCACCCGCUUUUCUAUGUUGUUGUGGACCCACGUAUUUCUUGGAAUAAUUAAGCUAGGUAGCCCUGUUGUCGUCGUGGAUGUGUGUAUUUUGGUUGUUGGGUGUUUGAUUUGGUUGUCCUUUGCAUGCACUCGCCUAGGAAUAUCACAUCUGUGUAGUGCCUAUUAAUUUGGAUCAAUGAUUUGAUUGGCUUGUACUAGUGUUGGUCCUUGGAUUUCUCAAAUUUGGACAGAUCUUUGUGCUCAUUUGGUUGACUUAGUUUCUCCAGACCAGAAUACUCUUACUCAUCCUCGAGUUUGAGUGAUCAAUGAGUGUAGCUUUCCUUGAUCAGCAAGUCUAGGUUUUGACUUUAGCAGGUUUUUAGAAUUGGCAAAAGUUGUGAGUUUUAUGCUGAACGUGCUUGAGAUCAAUGGGAGGAAGCGUAGCUCUGUCAGCUCAUCGCAGUUGGUUUUGUUUGAAUUUUUUAUUAAACAUAGGCUUUCGAUAUCUGAGAGUUUUGGGGGAGAACAACAGCACAACCAAAGUAUUUCUGUCACUUUCCCUUUGUAUCUUAUCUAUCUUUGGCCAUGGAUACUUGUGUUGGUAAUCAUAAAUCACAGAACUAUAAACAAGUAUCUUUUGUCAUGUGAAUUAUAUUUUAUUGUAUGUGAUCUUACUUUUUUUGUAUGUACUAUUCUAUUUAGUCACACAAUUAAACUAAUAACAAAAUUAAAAAAAAUAAAUAAAUAGUUACAGAAUCAUACUGCAG